UGGCUCAGGAUGAACGCUGGCGGCGUGCAUAACACAUUCAAGUCGAACGAGGUAGCAAUACCUAGUGGCGGACGGGUGAGUAACGCGUGAGCAACCUGCCCUUGUGUGGGGGAUACCGUCUGGAAACGGACGUUAAUACCGCAUAACAUAGCGGAAUCGCAUGGUUCUGCUAUCAAAGAUUUAUCGCUGGAAGAUGGCCUCGCGUCUGAUUAGAUAGUUGGUGAGGUAACGGCCCACCAAGUCUGCGAUCAGUAGCCGGACUGAGAGGUUGAACGGCCACAUUGGGACUGAGACACGGCCCAGACUCCUACGGGAGGCAGCAGUGGGGAAUAUUGCGCAAUGGGGGCAACCCUGACGCAGCAACGCCGCGUGAAGGAAGAAGGUCUUCGGAUUGUAAACUUUUGUCUUAUGGGAAGAUAAUGACGGUACCAUAGGAGGAAGCUCCGGCUAACUACGUG
RNAcentral lists this ribosomal RNA (458 nucleotides) under uncultured bacterium. RNAcentral's name for it is "bacterial SSU rRNA". It matches the Rfam family "Bacterial small subunit ribosomal RNA", at positions 20 to 507 of the family's 1533-position model. The record is from RNAcentral.